This is a non-coding RNA of Salmo salar (Atlantic salmon), 54 nucleotides long. The record is from Rfam. NCBI's taxonomy places the organism in Eukaryota, Metazoa, Chordata, Actinopteri, Salmoniformes, Salmonidae.
CAUGUUCACUACUGUAAGUUGCUCUGGACAAGAGCGUCUGCUAAAUGACUAAAA